RNAcentral lists this ribosomal RNA (360 nucleotides) under uncultured bacterium. RNAcentral's name for it is "partial 16S ribosomal RNA". It matches the Rfam family "Bacterial small subunit ribosomal RNA", at positions 338 to 695 of the family's 1533-position model. The record is from RNAcentral.
CCUACGGGAGGCUGCAGUGAGGAAUAUUGGGCAAUGGGCGGAAGCCUGAACCAGCCAAGCAGCGUGCAGGAUGACGGCCCUACGGGUUGUAAACUGCUUUUAUACGGGAAUAAAGCGCCUUACUUGUAGGGCUUUGCAUGUACCGUAUGAAUAAGGCCCGGCUAAUUCCGUGCCAUCAGCCGCGGUAAUUCGGAAGGUCCGGGCGUUAUCCGGAUUUAUUGGGUUUAAAGGGAGCGUAGGCCGCAUGUCAAGCGUGCUGUGAAAUGUCCGGGCUCAACCCGGGCCUUGCGGCGCGAACUGGCGUGCUUGAGUCAGCGGAAAGCAGGCGGAAUUCGUCGUGUAGCGGUGAAAUGCUUAGAU